This is a long non-coding RNA of Neltuma alba, 83 nucleotides long. RefSeq lists it as uncharacterized. NCBI's taxonomy places the organism in Eukaryota, Viridiplantae, Streptophyta, Magnoliopsida, Fabales, Fabaceae. The transcript has 3 exons. The record is from RefSeq and is a predicted model, not a curated record.
GCGGGAUUAUGCCUUCAAUGGAAGGAAAGUCAUCUUCUUCCUCGCUACUCUCCAUUACUGUUCCUUCUUCUUGCUCUUCUGUG